Molecule: ribosomal RNA, 137 nt
Filed under: uncultured eukaryote
Lineage: Eukaryota
Description: partial 18S ribosomal RNA
Rfam family: Eukaryotic small subunit ribosomal RNA
Source: RNAcentral
UGGUGGAGUGAUUUGUCUGGUUAAUUCCGAUAACGAACGAGACCUUCACGUGCUAAAUAGCCGGCCGGCCUUGGCUGGCCGCCGGCUUCUUAGACGGACUCUCGGCAUCUAGCCGAGGGAAGUUGGAGGCAAUAACA